RNAcentral lists this ribosomal RNA (423 nucleotides) under uncultured bacterium. Its description in RNAcentral is "bacterial SSU rRNA". It matches the Rfam family "Bacterial small subunit ribosomal RNA", at positions 207 to 622 of the family's 1533-position model. The record is from RNAcentral.
AAGACCUUGCGCUUUUGGAGCGGCCGAUGCCUGAUUAGCUUGUUGGUAAGGUAAAAGCUUACCAAGGCUUCGAUCAGUAGCUGGUCUGAGAGGACGGCCAGCCACACUGGGACUGAGACACGGCCCAGACUCCUACGGGAGGCGGCAGUGGGGAAUUUUGGACAAUGGGGGCAACCCUGAUCCAGCCAUGCCGCGUGAGUGAAGAAGGCCUUCGGGUUGUAAAGCUCUUUCAGCCGGAACGAAACGGUUACGGUUAAUAUCCGUGACUACUGACGGUACCGGAAGAAGAAGCACCGGCUAACUACGUGCCAGCAGCCGCGGUAAUACGUAGGGUGCGAGCGUUAAUCGGAAUUACUGGGCGUAAAGCGUGCGCAGGUGGUUUUGUAAGUCAGAUGUGAAAGCCCCGGGCUCAACCUGGGAACU